UAAACGGCUCUUUUUAGAGCCACCCAACUCUAAAAAGAGAAAUACCU
Molecule: non-coding RNA, 47 nt
Organism: Ciona savignyi (Pacific transparent sea squirt)
Lineage: Eukaryota; Metazoa; Chordata; Ascidiacea; Phlebobranchia; Cionidae
Source: Rfam